Molecule: unclassified non-coding RNA, 76 nt
Filed under: Pseudomonas chlororaphis
Lineage: Bacteria; Pseudomonadati; Pseudomonadota; Gammaproteobacteria; Pseudomonadales; Pseudomonadaceae
Source: RNAcentral
UGCCAUCGCGAGCAAGCUCGCUCCUACAGUUGGGCUGGUUUGCCUGUAGGAGCCAGCGAGCUUGCUCGCGACAAAA